AGCUCCAAUAGCGUAUAUUAAAGUUGUUGCAGUUAAAACGCCCGUAGUCAAACUUUUAGAGCAUUAAAGGGCCAGUUUCAAGGUUUAUCAUUUAUGCUAAGCUUUGGGCUGGCUUUUUAGGUUCUACUACUUUAUAUCCCUGGUCUUUGGGCAUUGGUGUUGCCUUUACUGGUAGUGCCAUUGUCAUUUCUCUUUGGAGAGGGCUAGGGAUGAUUACUUUGAAAAAAUUAGAGUGUUCAAAGCAGGCUUCUACGCCUGAAUACAUUAGCAUGGAAUAAUAAAAUAGGACUUUGGUUUUAUUUUGUUGGUUUCUAAAACUGAAGGAAUGAUGAAUAGGGUUGGUUGGGGUCAUUAGUAUUUUAUUGCUAGAGGUGAAAUUCUUGGGUUUGUGAAAGACUAACUUCUGCGAAAGCAUUUGACAAGGACAAUCUCAUUG
This 436-nucleotide ribosomal RNA is filed under the name Entomophthora sp. RNAcentral's name for it is "partial small subunit ribosomal RNA". It matches the Rfam family "Eukaryotic small subunit ribosomal RNA", at positions 587 to 975 of the family's 1831-position model. Lineage: Eukaryota; Fungi; Entomophthoromycota; Entomophthoromycetes; Entomophthorales; Entomophthoraceae. The record is from RNAcentral.